This 1014-nucleotide long non-coding RNA is filed under the name Oryctolagus cuniculus (rabbit). Its description in RNAcentral is "lncRNA (ENSOCUG00000035877.1)". Lineage: Eukaryota; Metazoa; Chordata; Mammalia; Lagomorpha; Leporidae. The record is from RNAcentral.
CAUAUGCAAACACAUGGAGACUGAACAACAUGUAGGAUCUCUGUCCUUAAUAUGUUGUACUAUGUGAAUUAAUGCUAUAACUAGUACUCAAACAAUACUUUACACAACAACAAGAAAAAUUAUAGACCUUCUAAUGUUCAUAUUUAUGGAUUAGUAAUAGGUUUUGAGGGUAGACACUGUGUCACUGAAAUCUAUUUUCACUUCUUUUUACCUUGUGCAUUAAAGACAAGCUAACCAACAGCUGUAUUAAUAUGGAUUAAGAAAUCUGGAAGGUCAAAAUAAUUCAGUAAUAAUUUUCCCACUCAAUGGCAGUGUGAUCUUAGAAUUUGGAUGUAAUCAAAUUUAUCUACAUAUCCGUUUACUGUUUUAUGACAUGGUUAGAAAGACUUUUCUCGGAUUCAGCUUAUAAACACUUUAACCAUUUAUUUUCUGAGAGGUCAUCUAUAAUUGAGGAGAAGUUAGCAAGAGUCCAGAGGCUGAGUGUGGCUUUGAUCUCAGUGUCCAGCCUUUCUCAGUGCAAAUCAUUCUGGGCAGAAAGGUAGGAGUCACAUCAAUGAUUCGGUUGCCUUACUAAAGGUUAUCAAGGCCUCUCUUCCCUCCCCUUUCACCUCCCCCGUUCCCCCACUGUUUGUGAGCAUCUCUGUAUGUCUGCAGCAGUUUGCUUGUCUUGAAGAAAUUGUACGCAGGUAUAGCUUUAAACCUUAAAUCUGUUCUUUAUGUGUGUUUGGUUACUCUGACUUUGCUGAGAUUUAGGGCAUGUCGUUUCGUCACUGAUCAUCUUUAUCAAAUCAUUAAAAAACUGUAAUGCAUCUUAUUUGAUUUUGUAUAUGCAGAAUAUUCUUCGUAGAAUAUUCUCAUUCCCUAAAAAAAUUUGAAUACAAUUUGAUAUACAAAUCACUUUUUUAAUCCUAUGAUUUAAGCAAGAGGGCAAUAGUAUUAAUACUAUGGGUUUUCUUUGAAAAUAACAGUAGCCCUAAAUGCUCCACAUUAGAAUAAACCCUGGAAAAUUAAACA